CGAGGGCGGAUGAACCCAAUAUCCUAUUCGAGGGCGGAUGAACCCAAAUAUCCUAUUCGAGGGCGGAUGAUCCCAUUUUCAAAAUCUUGGAAUUGUCUUACCUCCGACUGUUUUUCUUCGAAUCGUGUUGUCUUGCUAUCUCUUAAAACUUGAAUUGAUUUCCUCGUUCCUCAGAGAAAUUUUUUGACAUUGGCAGAAAAUCUUCUGCCCCAGUUUUGGUGCUUUUCCUUGUUCUCCAGGUGGACGCCUGACUUCUGAUAUUUCAACUAUUCUUCCUUGUUCUCCAGGUGGAUGCCUGAUUACUAAUACUUCAACUGUUCUUCCUUGUUCUCCAGGUGGACGCCUGACUGCUAAUACUUCCAUUUCUCUUCCUUGUUCUCCAGGUGGAUGCCUGAUUGCUGUUUCUUUCAUUGCUCUUCCUUGUUCUCUAGGUGGACGUCUGAUUGCUAAUACUUCCAUUACUCAUC
This 467-nucleotide long non-coding RNA is filed under the name Nicotiana tabacum (common tobacco). RNAcentral describes it as "long non-coding RNA (NTAB_LNC016156)". The record is from RNAcentral. Lineage: Eukaryota; Viridiplantae; Streptophyta; Magnoliopsida; Solanales; Solanaceae.